UGCACAGUAUGGUACAUGCACUGAACAGUCUAUUCCUGUUGGUGUGUUCAAAAGACUGCAAUAGAAAUUUAAUUUCUGGUGUCAUUGGUCUUCUUGGCUUUGUGCAUGUUAAUGCUAGUAUUUCAAUUGAUACAAUA
This is a small nucleolar RNA of Octodon degus (degu), 137 nucleotides long. Lineage: Eukaryota; Metazoa; Chordata; Mammalia; Rodentia; Octodontidae. The record is from Ensembl.